This 909-nucleotide ribosomal RNA is filed under the name uncultured Bacteroidota bacterium. RNAcentral's name for it is "bacterial SSU rRNA". It matches the Rfam family "Bacterial small subunit ribosomal RNA", at positions 584 to 1503 of the family's 1533-position model. The record is from RNAcentral. Lineage: Bacteria; Pseudomonadati; Bacteroidota.
UAARUCAGUGUUGAAGCCUGCAGCUUAACUGUAGAAUUGCCAUUGAUACUGGAUUACUUGAAUCUAAUAGAAGUAGGCGGAAUAUGACAUGUAGCGGUGAAAUGCUUAGAUAUGUCAUAGAACACCGAUAGCGAAGGCAGCUUACUAUGUUAGUAUUGACGCUAAUGCACGAAAGCGUGGGGAGCGAACAGGAUUAGAUACCCUGGUAGUCCACGCCGUAAACGAUGAUUACUCGCUAUUGGCGAUACACUGUCAGUGGCUAAGCGAAAGUGAUAAGUAAUCCAACCUGGGGAGUACGAUCGCAAGGUUGAAACUCAAAAGGAAUUUGACGGGGGGCCCGCACAAGCUGGUGGGAGCAUGUGGUUUAAUUCGAUGAUACGCGAGGAACCUUACCAGGUCUUAAAUGCAUAACGAACGAUUGGGAAACCAAUCUUUCUUCGGACGGAAUGCAAGGUGCUGCAUGGUUGUCGUCAGCUCGUGCCGUGAGGUGUCAGGUUAAGUCCUAUAACGAGCGCAACCCCUAUUCUUAGUUGCCAGCGGUUCGGCCGGGGACUCUAAGAAAACUGCCAGUGCAAGCUGUGAGGAAGGUGGGGAUGACGUCAAAUCAUCACGGCCCUUACGACCUGGGCCACACACGUGCUACAAUGGUAGGUACAAAGGGCAGCCACUUGGCGACAAGGAGCUAAUCUCUAAAACCUAUCUCAGUUCGGAUUGGAGUCUGAAACUCGACUCUAUGAAGCUGGAAUCGCUAGUAAUCGCGCAUCAGCCAUGGCGCGGUGAAUACGUUCCCGGGCCUUGUACACACCGCCCGUCAAGCCAUGGAAGCUGGGAGUACCUGAAGUCGGUAACCAUAUAGGAGCUGCCUAGGGUAAAACUAGUAACUGGGGCUAGUCGUAACAAGGUACCCGU